UACGUAGGUGGCAAGCGUUGUCCGGAUUUACUGGGCGUAAAGGGUGCGUAGGCGGAUAUUUAAGUCAGAUGUGAAAUACCCGGGCUCAACUUGGGUGCUGCAUUUGAAACUGGAUAUCUAGAGUGCGGGAGAGGUAAGUGGAAUUCCUAGUGUAGCGGUGAAAUGCGUAGAGAUUAGGAAGAACACCAGUGGCGAAGGCGACUUACUGGACCGUAACUGACGCUGAGGCAUGAAAGCGUGGGGAGCAAACAGG
This 253-nucleotide ribosomal RNA is filed under the name uncultured bacterium. RNAcentral's name for it is "partial 16S ribosomal RNA". It matches the Rfam family "Bacterial small subunit ribosomal RNA", at positions 524 to 776 of the family's 1533-position model. The record is from RNAcentral.